UACGUAGGGGGCGAGCGUUGUCCGGAUUUAUUGGGCGUAAAGAGCGUGUAGGCGGCCAGGUAGGUCGGUUGUGAAAACUGGAGGCUUAACCUUCAGACGUCGACCGAAACCAUCUGGCUAGAGUCCGGAAGAGGAGAGUGGAAUUCCUGGUGUAGCGGUGAAAUGCGCAGAUAUCAGGAAGAACACCCGUGGCGAAGGCGGCUCUCUGGGACGGUACUGACGCUGAUGUGCGAAAGCGUGGGGAGCAAACAGG
This 253-nucleotide ribosomal RNA is filed under the name uncultured bacterium. RNAcentral's name for it is "partial 16S ribosomal RNA". It matches the Rfam family "Bacterial small subunit ribosomal RNA", at positions 524 to 776 of the family's 1533-position model. The record is from RNAcentral.